GGAAAAGAUUAGACGUCAAAAUAAAAGAGAGAAAGAAGGUAUAAGAUUAAAAUUUAUAGUUCAUAUAUUGCCGUAUCAGAAGCCCAAGAACUGCACUCAACCAGUUUGAUUGUGCACGAUUGAGGUUAGGUGAUACGAGACUUGCGUAUUGCCCUGUAAUCUAAACAUAUUUGUUGUAAAAUUAACAAAAUACAAUAAUUGACCGAUCUUUUAGCUGAAAUCGCUUGGAAUGCAUUCCUUGAGGUGUUGCUGAAAAGCCUUUUAUUUAAUCCACCCAUCAAACUAAAUGAUCGUCCGAGAUAACCACGAAGCACUGCCGAAUAGUACAAGGCGUAGCCGCAUCGCGGACACACAGUAACCUGUGCAACGAACCUGACACGGAUCGGAUGGUAAGCUGUUAUCACUGCGAAUUGAGGCGACAGACCGAUCGUUCACAUGCCUAAACUGUCAGACACCAUCAGCACAGAUUCCGGUGAUUGAUGCACCUGGAAGCAAGGCUAACAGCAAAGCAGAAACGAGCUCUUCAAUCUGUAGUGCUGGAGCGAAUAGGGCUGGCCUACAGCUUGAAAGACUUGAGCCUCAGAAGGUUUUGGCGAGGAAGCGUAUAGAGUUGGAGCGUCGGGAAAACGAGCGGAAGUUGGAGCAAGAGAUGCCGUAAAAGGAAGCUGAGUUUGAGCGGGCGCUAUUUUGACUUGCACAGGUGAUAAUGAACAAGUCAUUCCGUUUGAGAGAGGUGAUCGACCUACGUGGGGAAGGCGAUGAAGGCAACCGGAGUGUCGCUUCUGUGCAGAGUUCCUUCAACAAGGUACAGCAGUGGAAGGCCGCCAUUCGACCGCAAUGCAUCAAGACAGUGCAGGUCCGAGAAGAGAUCCAGUGACAGUGGACGAAUUACUGAGGGAAUGAGUAUUCCCCAUCGUACGUUGGCCAGCCGUUACCGUCUGUGAUCCCCACUAUGCAAAGGUUUUCGAGAAGGCAGAUAGUACCACCAGCGAUCCAAUUGGGACCGCAGAAAUAGCCGCAAUUUGCGGAGUUCCAGGCUAGUGCGGAGCCAUCUCCGUUGCAUGACGAGCAGGUGUCACAGUGAAAAUUAGUAGUAAGACACGUUAUGAGUAAGGAGUUGCCAAUCUUUCCUGGCAAUUCGGAAGACUGGCCACUAUUCAUUGGCUCGUACGUUAACUUUACUCAGACGUUCGGUUUUUCGAACGAGGAAAAUUUUACGAGGCUGCAACGGUGACUGAUGCUACCGGCGAGCGUCCCGUAUGUUUUAGCUACGCUGGAGACACUAUGUGGUAUACCGGAAUUGUUGAUCCACACGUUGUUGCAGAGGAUCCGAGGGGUGCCAGUUCCAAAACAGGAAAGACUCGAUACGCUAAUUGGUUUCGGGAUGGCAGUACAGAAUUUCUGUGAUCAUCUGGAAGCCGGGAGGCAUGAAGCGUAUCUUAACAGUUGGUUGGUUGGUAAAGAAGCUUGGGGUUGUAGGAGAUCCGCAACUAUUGUGCCUGCAAUAGACGGCGAACGUGAAGAGGUCAGAAGCUAAUUCUCAACGGGUCACAUUGGAAGUAAGAGGACGGUCAGGGGCACCAGCAGUAGUGGAUCCAGGAGGAGGGUCUUGGGGGUUCGGACCCCCUCCGAAAUUUUUUAACUUGUUGAAAAUUUUUAAAAUAGUUUCCAUUUUAAUUCGUUCUAAACUCAAAAUCGUUUCAGACCAGAUUGGAUUUUUAUUAAAUAUAUUACGAAUUGUACAAUGAACGUUUCAAAAUCGAAAUUUCGGAUACCCUCUGAAUUUUUUUCUGGAUCCGCUCCUGGGCACCAGACAUUCUUUGUCGGACGUGCGCAUCGUAAGCAAGCUGGACUUACAACGACAAUUCUUGCGAUACGCGGAACUCACAGAAGUCUCCGUACCUGAACGGCCUAUCGGUCGAUGAUUACGAUCAAGCGAUACCUCGUAUCCUCAUCGGAAACGACGACGCUCACGUUACGUCGACGCUCAAGUUACGAGAUGACCGGAAGAGCCGGUGGUAGCAAAAUCACGUUUGGGAUGGACGGUUCAGGGAUCCCAAAUUGGCGAUAGCCAAUUUUAAACAAAUAUUGGGGCUCAAUUUCUUCAAGGCUCCUGUUCGCGGCAAGUUUACUGACAGACUCUAGUAUGUUUUCACAAAAAAUGAUGGUGGGUCAAGCAAUCUGCUCCUGUGGCAAGAAAACCAGCCGUUUUGUGAUGAACAAAACAACUAGUUUGGAAGAGUUGAGAAUAGGGUGCCGUAAUAAACAGAUUCGGGUCGUAAAUUUUGAUAUUAUCCCUAUUAUGAUUUUGACAUUUGUUCUUCAGUUAUCAAAUGACGACCGAGCAACAAAUCACUAAAUGUGGCCAAAUCAACUACCACGAAAGUAGCAAAAGUGGAACGUUUGUCGAUAGUCCAGAUAACUGGGUCGGAAGGAUAAAAGAGUGAUCAGCGGUUUCAACCAAUCCGUCCGAGAUGUCACAAACAAAUUGAAAGUGUUGUCUUCACACAUGUCUCGAACUAAAAAAUGAGCAAGACUGUUGACUUAUAAGAAGGUAGUGACUCCCAGUAGCAACGUUAAAAAAAUCGAUAGCGUAGUAAUACAAUGAAACGCAUAUGAAGACCAACUUCAAACAGUUCGGCAGGCUAUCUGUACCUGUGAUUUGAAAAGCUACCAGGACAUCUACGUACACGAGUAUCUGUAACGUUUGAAGCAACACAAUUGUUCCGUGCUGUUUUGGAAUAAUUUGCCAUUCAGUCAUUACGGAACAGAGGUUAUGGAGUGGUAUGACGCCAACAACGUUCAGAAGGUGUCCAAGGUCGCGAACCCUCCCAAUAGGCUAGAGCUCUGUUCAAUCUACAGGUUUUGGAUCACCGUUAAGCGUAAUCUGAAGAAUCCAAUUCAGUGAUGAUCAAAGUGUGCAGCAGUUAAACGAAAGACCCGGUAACUCGGAUUCGGUUAACGGGAAGCACAUUUGAAUAUGUUGACAAUAUUUCAUCACUUUACACACAUGACUAAAUUUUGAUCGAAACACCCUUUGGUGCUGCUCUGAAUCAUAAGCGAAUGUAUUUCAUUCUACCAGGUUAUCCGAUCUAGGAAUUGACGUUUCCUAGUCCUCUUGAACAACCGCUGCGACGAAGAUGCACCCUCGAUCACACACCUCCAGCGAGUGCGGGGUGUACCCGAAGUCAACUUCCAGGUUCUCUGCUGAGCAUAACUAAAACUGGCGUCCCUUUCGGCAUUCGCGCUACAUGUCCAGUCUACUGUUGUCUGCCGUUUUUUAUCAACCAUCCGAUGUCGGUAUUUUCGCUUGCAUUAUGAUCACAUAAAGUUACUCGCGAUGCGUUUGUGCAAAUGAAAUCCUGGUACAUCAAGGUUUUCAGACGCGAGUAUCGUGCGCGCGAUUUCACAAUUUAAGUUUGUUCUGAAGUACCCAUACUGCCCACGUUAUUUCAGAUACAGCUCGUAAAGUGUAUACCGAGCAAAUACGAGGUUCGUUUGUGGUUUGGACCAUUGGAUAAUUAUUCCUUACAAUUCUUAAACAAAGUUCUCCAGCUCACGCUGAUGAUCAAGUACAGCAUUUGAGUAUAGUAAGAACUGAUCGUCGAUUUCAUCAACCUGCUCCUCUUAGCGAUUAGGAAGAGAGCGCACGAACCUGUGCUUUCGAUACUCCUUAUUUCUUUCUUACAUGAGCACAUGUAUUGUAAGCUUCGAUCAGCCGAAGGUUGUCGGUUUGAUUCUUACCCCUGAGUCGAUUUUUGCACGUGAUUGAUCCCGUUUAAGAGGGACGUCUGGUGUAAAGUGCCCAAACCGAAAGUUAUUUUGUUUUACGAUUUUGAAGGCAAGGUAACAAUGGAUCUUUUGUGUAAUGUUAAGAUUUAUCUAUAUGCUAUUUGCGCGCGAAAAAGAAAUUCAGUCACGCAGAGCCAAACAUACGAGCGUUCAAUGAGUAGACGUCCAACCAUUACCACGUCGAAGAGCGCCGCAGCGAACAAGAUAACUCUUGAAAAAAUUGUCUGACACAGGAAAUUCAAUAAGAUUUGGGAAGCUUAGACU
Long non-coding RNA from Topomyia yanbarensis, 4056 nucleotides. RefSeq lists it as uncharacterized. The transcript is spliced from 3 exons. The record is from RefSeq and is a predicted model, not a curated record. Lineage: Eukaryota; Metazoa; Arthropoda; Insecta; Diptera; Culicidae.